UACGGAGGGGGCUAGCGUUGUUCGGAAUUACUGGGCGUAAAGCGCACGUAGGCGGUGUGUCGCGUCGGCCGUGAAAACCUGCAGCUUAACUGUGGGCUUGCGGUCGAUACGGGCAUCACUGGAGUUCGGCAGGGGAGACUGGAAUUCCUGGUGUAGCGGUGAAAUGCGCAGAUAUCAGGAGGAACACCGGUGGCGAAGGCGGGUCUCUGGGCCGAUACUGACGCUGAGGCACGAAAGCGUGGGGAUCAAACAGG
This 254-nucleotide ribosomal RNA is filed under the name uncultured bacterium. RNAcentral describes it as "partial 16S ribosomal RNA". It matches the Rfam family "Bacterial small subunit ribosomal RNA", at positions 524 to 776 of the family's 1533-position model. The record is from RNAcentral.